UAGAGUUUGAUCAUGGCUCAGGACGAACGCUGGCGGCGUGCUUAACACAUGCAAGUCGAACGCUGAAGCCCUUCGGGGUGGAUGAGUGGCGAACGGGUGAGUAACACGUGGGUAAUCUGCCCUGCACUCUGGGAUAAGCCUUGGAAACGAGGUCUAAUACCGGAUAGGACACAUGGCCGCAUGGUCUGUGUGUGGAAAGUUCCGGCGGUGCAGGUUGAGCCCGCGGCCUAUCAGCUUGUUGGUGGGGUGAUGGCCUACCAAGGCGACGACGGGUAGCCGGCCUGAGAGGGUGACCGGCCACACUGGGACUGAGACACGGCCCAGACUCCUACGGGAGGCAGCAGUGGGGAAUCUUGCGCAAUGGGCGAAAGCCUGACGCAGCAACGCCGCGUGGGGGAUGACGGCCUUCGGGUUGUAAACCUCUUUCGACAUCGACGAAGCCUUCGGGUGACGGUAGGUGUAGAAGAAGCACCGGCUAACUACGUGCCAGCAGCCGCGGUAAUACGUAGGGUGCGAGCGUUGUCCGGAAUUAUUGGGCGUAAAGAGCUCGUAGGCGGUUUGUCGCGUCGGCCGUGAAAACCUGCCGCUUAACGGUGGGCGUGCGGUCGAUACGGGCAGACUUGAGUUCGGUAGGGGAGACUGGAAUUCCUGGUGUAGCGGUGAAAUGCGCAGAUAUCAGAG
Molecule: ribosomal RNA, 681 nt
Filed under: uncultured Saccharopolyspora sp.
Lineage: Bacteria; Bacillati; Actinomycetota; Actinomycetes; Pseudonocardiales; Pseudonocardiaceae
Description: bacterial SSU rRNA
Rfam family: Bacterial small subunit ribosomal RNA
Source: RNAcentral